This 954-nucleotide ribosomal RNA is filed under the name Priestia megaterium. RNAcentral describes it as "bacterial SSU rRNA". It matches the Rfam family "Bacterial small subunit ribosomal RNA", at positions 1 to 959 of the family's 1533-position model. Lineage: Bacteria; Bacillati; Bacillota; Bacilli; Caryophanales; Bacillaceae. The record is from RNAcentral.
CGGAUCAUAGGCCUAUUUCCAGGCGGGCUAUCAUGCAGUCGAGCGAACUGAUUAGAAGCUUGCUUCUAUGACGUUAGCGGCGGACGGGUGAGUAACACGUGGGCAACCUGCCUGUAAGACUGGGAUAACUUCGGGAAACCGAAGCUAAUACCGGAUAGGAUCUUCUCCUUCAUGGGAGAUGAUUGAAAGAUGGUUUCGGCUAUCACUUACAGAUGGGCCCGCGGUGCAUUAGCUAGUUGGUGAGGUAACGGCUCACCAAGGCAACGAUGCAUAGCCAACCUGAGAGGGUGAUCGGCCACACUGGGACUGAAACACGGCCCAAACUCCUACGGGAGGCAGCAGUAGGGAAUCUUCCGCAAUGGACGAAAGUCUGACGGAGCAACGCCGCGUGAGUGAUGAAGGCUUUCGGGUCGUAAAACUCUGUUGUUAGGGAAAAACAAGUACAAGAGUAACUGCUCGUACCUUGACGGUACCUAACCAAAAAGCCACGGCUAACUACGUGCCAGCAGCCGCGGUAAUACGUAGGUGGCAAGCGUUAUCCGGAAUUAUUGGGCGUAAAGCGCGCGCAGGCGGUUUCUUAAGUCUGAUGUGAAAGCCCACGGCUCAACCGUGGAGGGUCAUUGGAAACUGGGGAACUUGAGUGCAGAAAAGAAAAGCGGAAUUCCACGUGUAGCGGUGAAAUGCGUAGAGAUGUGGAGGAACACCAGUGGCGAAGGCGGCUUUUUGGUCUGUAACUGACGCUGAGGCGCGAAAGCGUGGGGAGCAAACAGGAUUAGAUACCCUGGUAGUCCACGCCGUAAACGAUGAGUGCUAAGUGUUAGAGGGUUUCCGCCCUUUUAGUGCUGCAGCUAACGCAUUAAGCACUCCGCCUGGGGAGUACGGUCGCAGACUGAACUCAAGGAAGUGGACGGGGGCCGCACAGGCGGGUGGCAGCCAUGGGUGGCUUUAAUUUCA